UGGGGAAUAUUGGACAAUGGGCGAAAGCCUGAUCCAGCCAUGCCGCGUGUGUGAAGAAGGUCUUCGGAUUGUAAAGCACUUUAAGUUGGGAGGAAGGGCAGUUACCUAAUACGUGAUUGUUUUGACGUUACCGACAGAAUAAGCACCGGCUAACUCUGUGCCAGCAGCCGCGGUAAUACAGAGGGUGCAAGCGUUAAUCGGAAUUACUGGGCGUAAAGCGCGCGUAGGUGGUUAGUUAAGUUGGAUGUGAAAUCCCCGGGCUCAACCUGGGAACUGCAUUCAAAACUGACUGACUAGAGUAUGGUAGAGGGUGGUGGAAUUUCCUGUGUAGCGGUGAAAUGCGUAGAUAUAGGAAGGAACACCAGUGGCGAAGGCGACCACCUGGACUGGAUA
Molecule: ribosomal RNA, 393 nt
Filed under: uncultured bacterium
Lineage: Bacteria
Description: bacterial SSU rRNA
Rfam family: Bacterial small subunit ribosomal RNA
Source: RNAcentral